UACAGGACCUUACUGCUGAUGGCUGGUAGGUUACAGGACCUUACUGCUGAUGGCUGGUAGGUUACAGGGCCUUACUGCUGAUGGCUGGUAGGUUACAGGGCCUUACUGAUGGCUGGUAGGUUACAGGACCUUACUGAUGAUGGCUGGUAGGUUACAGGACCUUACUGAUGAUGGAUGGUAGGUUACAGGACCUUACUGAUGGCUGGUAGGUUACAGGACCUUACUGAUGGCUGGUAGGUUACAGGACCUUACUGCUGAUGGCUGGUAGGUUACAGGACCUUACUGCUGAUGGCUGGUAGGUUACAGGACCUUACUGAUGAUGGCUGGUAGGUUACAGGACCUUACUGCUGAUGGCUGGUAGGUUACAGGACCUUACUGCUGAUUGCUGGUAGGUUACAGGACCUUACUGAUGAUGGCUGGUAGGUUACAGGACCUUACUGAUGGCUGGUAGGUUACAGGACCUUACUGAUGGCUGGUAGGUUACAGGGCCUUACUGAUGGCUGGUAGGUUACAGGGCCUUACUGAUGGCUGGUAGGUUACAGGGCCUUACUGCUGGUAGGUUACAGGACCUUACUGAUGAUGGCUGGUAGGUUACAGGACCUUACUGCUGGUAGGUUACAGGACCUUACUGCUGAUGGCUGGUAGGUUACAGGGCCUUACUGCUGAUUGCUGGUAGGUUACAGGACCUUACUGAUGAUGGCUGGUAGGUUACAGGACCUUACUGAUGAUGGCUGGUAGGUUACAGGACCUUACUGAUGGCUGGUAGGUUACAGGACCUUACUGAUGAUGGCUGGUAGGUUACAGGACCUUACUGAUGGCUGGUAGGUUACAGGACCUUACUGAUGGCUGGUAGGUUACAGGACCUUACUGAUGAUGGCUGGUAGGUUACAGGGCCUUACUGAUGGCUGGUAGGUUACAGGAUCUUAGUGAUGGCUGGUAGGUUACAGGGCCUUACUGAUGAUGGCUGGUAGGUUACAGGGCCUUACUGAUGAUGGCUGGUAGGUUACAGGACCUUACUACUGAUGAUGGCUGGUAGGUUACAGGACCUUACUGAUGGUGGCUGGUAGGUUACAGGGCCUUACUGAUGAUGGCUGGUAGGUUACAGGGCCUUACUGAUGAUGGCUGGUAGGUUACAGGACCUUACUGCUGAUGGCUGGUAGGUUACAGGACCUUACUGCUGAUGGCUGGUAGGUUACAGGACCUUACUGAUGAUGGCUGGUAGGUUACAGGACCUUACUGAUGAUGGCUGGUAGGUUACAGGGCCUUACUGAUGAUGGCUGGUAGGUUACAGGGCCUUACUGAUGAUGGCUGGUAGGUUACAGGACCUUACUGCUGAUGGCUGGUAGGUUACAGGACCUUACUGAUGAUGGCUGGUAGGUUACAGGGCCUUACUGAUGGCUGGUAGGUUACAGGGCCUUACUGCUGGUAGGUUACAGGGCCUUACUGAUGAUGGAUGGUAGGUUACAGGGCCUUACUGAGGAUGGCUGGUAGGUUACAGGGCCUUACUGAGGAUGGCUGGUAGGUUACAGGGCCUUACUGAGGAUGGCUGGUAGGUUACAGGACCUUACUGAUGAUGGCUGGUAGGUUACAGAACCUUACUGCUGAUGGCUGGUAGGUUACAGGACCUUACUGAUGAUGGCUGGUAGGUUACAGGACCUUACUCAAGUUUCAAUCAAGUUUAUUUUAUAUAGCCCUUCGUACAUCAGCUGAUAUCUCAAAGUGCUGUACAGAAACCCAGCCUAAAACCCCAAACAGCAAACAAUGCAGGUGUAGAAGCACGGUGGCUAGGAAAAACUCCCUAGAAAGGCCAAAACCUAGGAAGAAACCUAGAGAAGAACCAGGCUAUGAGGGGUGGCCAGUCCUCUUCUGGCUGUGCCGGGUGGAGAUUAUAACAGAACUAUGCCAAGAUGUUCAAAAUGUUCAUAAGUGACAAGCAUGGUCAAAUAAUAAUCAUGAAUAAUUUUCAGUUGGCUUUUCAUAGCCGAUCAUUAAGAGUUGAAAGCAGCAGGUCUGGGACAGGUAGGGGUUCCAUAACCGCAGGCAGAACAGUUGAAACUGGAACAGCAGCAAGGCCAGGUGGACUGGGGACAGCAAGGAGUCUUCAUGCCCGGUAGUCCUGACGUAUGGUCCUAGGGCUCAGGUCCUCCGAGAGAGAGAAAGAAAGAGAGAAGGAGAGAAUUAGAGAGAGCCAAGAUUUUCAAAAUGUUCAUAAAUGACAAGCAUGGUCAAAUAAUAAAUCAGGAAUAAAAGUCAGUUUGCUUUUCAUAGCCGAUCAUUAAGAGUUGAAAGCAGCAGGUCUGGGACAGGUAGGGGUUCCAUAACCGCAGGCAGAGCAGUUGAAACUGGAACAGCAGCAAGGCCAGGUGGACUGGGGACAGCAAGGAGUCAUCAUGCCCGGUUUGCCGUGACGUAUGGUCCUAGGGCUCAGGUUCUCAGAGAGAGAGAAAGAAAGAGAGAACGAGAGAAUUAGAGAGAGCAUACUUAAAUUCACACAGGACACUGGAUAAGACAGGAGAAGUACUCCAGGUAUAACCAACUGACCCUAGCCCCCCGACACAUAAACUACUGCAGCAUAAAUACUGGAGCCUGAGACAGGAGCGGUCAGGAGACACUGUGGCCCCAUCCGAAGAUACCCCCGGACAGGGCCAAACAGGAAGGAUAUAACCCCACCCACUUUGCCAAAGCACAGCUCCCGCACCACUAGAGGGAUAUCUUCAACCACCAACUUACAAUCCUGAGACAAGGCCAAGUAUAGCCCACAAAGAUCUCCACCACAGCACAAACCAAGGGGGGGCGCCAACCCAGACAGGAAGAUCACGUCAGUAACUCAACCCACUCAAGUGACGCACCCCUCCUAGGGACGGCAUGAAAGAGCACCAGUAAGCCAGUGACUCAGCCCCUGUAAUAGGGUUAGAGGUAGAGAAUCCCAGUGGAGGGGAACCGGCCAGGCAGAGACAGCAAGGGCGGUUCGUUGCUCCAGAGCCUUUCCGUUCACCUUCACACUCCUGGGCCAGACUACACUCAAUCAUAUGACCUACUGAAGAGAUAAGUCUUCAGUAAAGACUUAAAGGUUGAGACCGAGUCUGCGUCUCUCACAUGGGUAGGCAGACCGUUCCAUAAAAAUGGAGAUCUAUAGGAGAAAGCCCUGCCUCCCGCUGUUUGCUUAGAAAUUCUAGGGACAAUUAGGAGGCCUGCGUCUUGUGACCGUAGCAUACGUGUAGGUAUGUACGGCAGGACCAACUCGGAAAGAUAGGUAGGAGCAAGCCCAUGUAACGCUUUAUAGGUUAACAGUAAAACUUUGAAAUCAGCCCUUGCCUUAACAGGAAGCCAGUGUAGGGAAGCUAGCACUGGAGUAAUAUGAUCAAAUUUCUUGGUUCUAGUCAGGAUUCUAGCAGCCGUAUUUAGCACUAACUGAAGUUUAUUUAGUGUUUUAUCCGGGUAGCCGGAAAGUAGAGCAUUGCAGUAGUCUAACCUAGAAGCAACAAAAGCAUGGAUGAAUUUUUCUGCAUCAUUUUUGGACAGAACAUUUCUGAUUUUUGCAAUGUUACGUAGAUGGAAAAAAGCUGUCCUUGAAACAGUCUUGAUAUGUUCGUCAAAAGAGAGAUCAGGGUCAAGAGUAACGCCGAGGUCCUUCACAGUUUUAUUUGAGACGACUUUACAACCAUCAAGAUUAAUUGUCAGAUUUAACAGAAGAUCUCUCUGUUUCUUAAUGAUGAUGGCUGGUAGGUUACAGGACCUUACUGGUGGCUGGUAGGUUACAGGACCUUACUGAUGGCUCGUAGGUUACAGGGCCUUACUGAUGAUGGAUGGUAGGUUACAGGACCUUACUGAUGGCUGGUAGGUUACAGGACCUUACUGAUGGCUGGUAGGUUACAGGACCUUACUGAUGGCUGGUAGGUUACAGGACCUUACUGCUGAUGGCUGGUAGGUUACAGGACCUUAACUGAUGAUGGCUGGUAGGUUACAGGACCUUACUGAUGGCUGGUAGGUUACAGGACCUUACUGCUGAUGGCUGGUAGGUUACAGGGCCUUACUGCUGGUAGGUUACAGGACCUUACUGCUAAUGGCUGGUAGGUUACAGGACCUUACUGCUGAUGGCUGGUAGGUUACAGGACCUUACUGCUGGCUGGUAGGUUACAGGACCUUACUGCUGGCUGGUAGGUUACAGGACCUUACUGCUAAUGGCUGGUACGUUACAGGACCUUACUGCUAAUGGCUGGUAGGUUACAGGACCUUACUGCUGAUGGCUGGUAAGUUACAGGACCUUACUGCUGAUGGCUGGUAGGUUACAGGACCUUACUGCUGAUGGCUGGUAGGUUACAGGACCUUACUGAUGAUGGCUGGUAGGUUACAGGACCUUACUGAUGAUGGCUGGUAGGUUACAGGACCUUACUGCUGAUGGCUGGUAGGUUACAGGGCCUUACUGCUGAUGGCUGGUAGGUUACAGGACCUUACUGCUAAUGGCUGGUAGGUUACAGGGCCUUACUGAUGGCUGGUAGGUUACAGGGCCUUACUGAUGAUGGCUGGUAGGUUACAGGACCUUACUGCUGAUGGCUGGUAGGUUACAGGACCUUACUGCUGAUGGCUGGUAUGUUACAGGACCUUACUGAUGGCUGGUAGGUUACAGGACCUUACUGCUGAUGGCUGGUAGGUUACAGGACCUUACUGCUGAUGGCUGGUAGGUUACAGGACCUUACUGCUGGUAGGUUACAGGACCUUACUGCUUAUGGCUGGUAGGUUACAGGACAUUACUGCUGGUAGGUUACAGGACCUUACUGCUGAUGGCUGGUAGGUUACAGGACCUUACUGCUGAUGGCUGGUAGGUUACAGGACCUUACUGCUGAUGGCUGGUAGGUUACAGGACCUUACUGCUGAUUGCUGGUAGGUUACAGGACCUUACUGCUGAUUGCUGGUAGGUUACAGGACCUUACUGAUGGCUGGUAGGUUACAGGACCUUGCUGAUUGCUGGUAGGUUACAGGACCUUACUGAUGGCUGGUAGGUUACAGGACCUUACUGCUGAUGGCUGGUAGGUUACAGGACCUUACUGCUGAUGGCUGGUAGGUUACAGGACCUUACUGCUGAUGGCUGGUAGGUUACAGGACCUUACUGCUGAUGGCUGGUAGGUUACAGGACCUUACUGCCGAUGGCUGGUAGGUUACAGGACCUUACUGUUGGUAGGUUACAGGACCUUACUGAUGGCUGGUAGGUUACAGGACCUUACUGCUGAUGGCUGGUAGGUUACAGGACCUUACUGCUGAUGGCUGGUAGGUUACAGGACCUUACUGCUGAUGGCUGGUAGGUUACAGGACCUUACUGCUGAUGGCUGGUAGGUUACAGGACCUUACUGCUGAUGGCUGGUAGGUUACAGGACCUUACUGCUGAUUGCUGGUAGGUUACAGGACCUUACUGAUUGCUGGUAGGUUACAGGACCUUACUGAUGGCUGGUAGGUUACAGGACCUUACUGCUGAUGGCUGGUAGGUUACAGGACCUUACUGCUGAUGGCUGGUAGGUUACAGGACCUUACUGCUGAUGGCUGGUAGAUUACAGGACCUUACUGCUGAUGGCUGGUAGGUUACAGGACCUUACUGCUGAUGGCUGGUAGGUUACAGGACCUUACUGAUGGCUGGUAGGUUACAGGACCUUACUGCUGAUGGCUGGUAGGUUACAGGACCUUACUGCUGAUGGCUGGUAGGUUACAGGACCUUACUGCUGAUGGCUGGUAGGUUACAGGACCUUACUGAUGAUGGCUGGUAGGUUACAGGACCUUACUGAUGAUGGCUGGUAGGUUACAGGACCUUACUGAUGGUAGGUUACAGGAUCUUACUGCUGAUGGCUGGUAGGUUACAGGACCUUACUGCUGGUAGGUUACAGGACCUUACUGCUGAUGGCUGGUAGGUUACAGGGCCUUACUGCUGGUAGGUUACAGGACCUUACUGAUGGCUGGUAGGUUACAGGACCUUACUGCUGAUGGCUGGUAGGUUACAGGACCUUACUGCUGAUGGCUGGUAGGUUACAGGACCUUACUGAUGGCUGGUAGGUUACAGGACCUUACUGCUGAUGGCUGGUAGGUUACAGGGCCUUACUGAUGAUGGCUGGUAGGUUACAGGACCUUACUGCUGAUGGCUGGUAGGUUACAGGACCUUACUGCUGAUGGCUGGUAUGUUACAGGACCUUACUGAUGGCUGGUAGGUUACAGGACCUUACUGCUGAUGGCUGGUAGGUUACAGGACCUUACUGCUGAUGGCUGGUAGGUUACAGGACCUUACUGCUGGUAGGUUACAGGACCUUACUGCUUAUGGCUGGUAGGUUACAGGACCUUACUGCUGGUAGGUUACAGGACCUUACUGCUGAUGGCUGGUAGGUUACAGGACCUUACUGCUGAUGGCUGGUAGGUUACAGGACCUUACUGCUGAUGGCUGGUAGGUUACAGGACCUUACUGCUGAUUGCUGGUAGGUUACAGGACCUUACUGCUGAUUGCUGGUAGGUUACAGGACCUUACUGAUGGCUGGUAGGUUACAGGACCUUGCUGAUUGCUGGUAGGUUACAGGACCUUACUGAUGGCUGGUAGGUUACAGGACCUUACUGCUGAUGGCUGGUAGGUUACAGGACCUUACUGCUGAUGGCUGGUAGGUUACAGGACCUUACUGCUGAUGGCUGGUAGGUUACAGGACCUUACUGCUGAUGGCUGGUAGGUUACAGGACCUUACUGCCGAUGGCUGGUAGGUUACAGGACCUUACUGCCGAUGGCUGGUAGGUUACAGGACCUUACUGUUGGUAGGUUACAGGACCUUACUGAUGGCUGGUAGGUUACAGGACCUUACUGCUGAUUGCUGGUAGGUUACAGGACCUUACUGCUGAUUGCUGGUAGGUUACAGGACCUUACUGAUGGCUGGUAGGUUACAGGACCUUACUGCUGAUGGCUGGUAGGUUACAGGACCUUACUGCUGAUGGCUGGUAGGUUACAGGACCUUACUGCUGAUGGCUGGUAGAUUACAGGACCUUACUGCUGAUGGCUGGUAGGUUACAGGACCUUACUGCUGAUGGCUGGUAGGUUACAGGACCUUACUGAUGGCUGGUAGGUUACAGGACCUUACUGCUGAUGGCUGGUAGGUUACAGGACCUUACUGCUGAUGGCUGGUAGGUUACAGGACCUUACUGCUGAUGGCUGGUAGGUUACAGGACCUUACUGAUGAUGGCUGGUAGGUUACAGGACCUUACUGAUGAUGGCUGGUAGGUUACAGGACCUUACUGAUGGUAGGUUACAGGAUCUUACUGCUGAUGGCUGGUAGGUUACAGGACCUUACUGCUGGUAGGUUACAGGAUCUUACUGCUGAUGGCUGGUAGGUUACAGGACCUUACUGCUGGUAGGUUACAGGACCUUACUGCUGAUUGUUGUUAGGUUACAGGACCUUACUGAUGGCUGGUAGGUUACAGGACCUUACUGAUGGCUGGUAGGUUACAGGGCCUUACUGAUGGCUGGUAGGUUACAGGGCCUUACUGAUGGCUGGUAGGUUACAGGACCUUACUGGUGGCUGGUAGGUUACAGGACCUUACUGAUGAUGGCUGGUAGGUUACAGGACCUUACUGAUGAUGGCUGGUAGGUUACAGGACCUUACUGAUGAUGGCUGGUAGGUUACAGGACCUUACUGAUGGCUGGUAGGUUACAGGACCUUACUGCUGAUGGCUGGUAGGUUACAGGGCCUUACUGAUGAUGGCUGGUAGGUUACAGGGCCUUACUGAUGAUGGCUGGUAGGUUACAGGACCUUACUGAUGAUGGCUGGUAGGUUACAGGACCUUACUGAUGAUGGCUGGUAGGUUACAGGACCUUACUGCUGGUAGGUUACAGGACCUUACUGCUGGUAGGUUACAGGACCUUACUGCUGAUGGCUGGUAGGUUACAGGACCUUACUGAUGAUGGCUGGUAGGUUACAGGACCUUACUGAUGAUGGCUGGUAGGUUACAGGACCCUACUGCUGGUAGGUUACAGGACCUUACUGCUGGUAGGUUACAGGACCUUACUGAUGAUGGCUGGUAGGUUACAGGACCUUACUGAUGAUGGCUGGUGGGUUACAGGACCUUACUGAUGAUGGCUGGUAGGUUACAGGACCUUACUGAUGAUGGCUGGUAGGUUACAGGACCUUACUGCUGAUGGCUGGUAGGUUACAGGACCUUACUGCUGGUAGGUUACAGGACCUUACUGAUGAUGGCUGGUAGGUUACAGGACCUUACUGCUGGUAGGUUACAGGACCUUACUGAUGAUGGCUGGUAGGUUACAGGACCUUACUGAUGAUGGCUGGUAGGUUACAGGACCUUACUGAUGAUGGCUGGUAGGUUACAGGACCUUACUGCUGGUAGGUUACAGGACCUUACUGCUGGUAGGUUACAGGACCUUACUGCUGAUGGCUGGUAGGUUACAGGACCUUACUGAUGAUGGCUGGUAGGUUACAGGACCUUACUGCUGGUAGGUUACAGGACCUUACUGCUGGUAGGUUACAGGACCUUACUGCUGGUAGGUUACAGGACCUUACUGCUGGUAGGUUACAGGGCCUUACUGCUGAUGGCUGGUAGGUUACAGGACCUUACUGCUGGUAGGUUACAGGACCUUAUUG
Molecule: long non-coding RNA, 8612 nt
Organism: Salvelinus fontinalis (brook trout)
Lineage: Eukaryota; Metazoa; Chordata; Actinopteri; Salmoniformes; Salmonidae
Exons: 4
Source: RefSeq, a predicted model, not a curated record